Molecule: ribosomal RNA, 472 nt
Filed under: uncultured bacterium
Lineage: Bacteria
Description: SSU rRNA
Rfam family: Bacterial small subunit ribosomal RNA
Source: RNAcentral
AGGACGAACGCUGGCGGCGUGCUUAACACAUGCAAGUCGAGCGGAAAGGCCCUUCGGGGUACUCGAGCGGCGAACGGGUGAGUAACACGUGAGUAAUCUGCCCCUAGCUCUGGGAUAGCUCCGGGAAACCGGGAUUAAUACCGGAUACGACCACCUUAGACAUCUUUUGUGGUGGAAAGAAUUUCGGCUAGGGAUGAGCUCGCGGCCUAUCAGCUUGUUGGUGGGGUAACGGCCUACCAAGGCGACGACGGGUAGCCGGCCUGAGAGGGCGACCGGCCACACUGGGACUGAGACACGGCCCAGACUCCUACGGGAGGCAGCAGUGGGGAUAUUGCGCAAUGGGCGAAAGCCUGACGCAGCGACGCCGCGUGGGGGAUGAAGGCCUUCGGGUUGUAACCCCUUUCAGCAGGGACGAAGCGAAAGUGACGGUACCUGCAGAAGAAGCGCCGGCUAACUACGUGCCAGCAGCCGC